RNAcentral lists this non-coding RNA (704 nucleotides) under Pongo abelii (Sumatran orangutan). The record is from RNAcentral. Lineage: Eukaryota; Metazoa; Chordata; Mammalia; Primates; Hominidae.
GGGGCUCCCAGAACCCACUCUCCCCAAAGGCGAGUUUCCCAGGCCCGCGCGGCCGCUACCUGCAGCCCUUGGCCAGGCUCUCCCGCAGCGUCUUGCGCUCCUGCAGACGCCGCUCGUGCUGUUGCUGGAAAGCGAGCUCGCUGUAGACCGGCCGCGACACCACGUAGCUGCAGCUGUACUCGGGGAGCUGCGGCGGCUCCGACCUGCCGCGUGGCGCUGCCAUGACCUGCGAGCCAGAGGACAGCGAGGAGGGAGGAGACGCGGGAAGGAAUAAACUGGACUACAUGGAAAUCAAGACUAGAAGAGAGUGAGGAGGAGCCGGAGCUAUCCUACCUCAUCAGUGUUUUGUCUUCUGUUGGGAUGAACUUUGCUAAAACUAAUGCAUGGUUAAGAUGAAAGGCAGAAGGAAGGGUUUGAUAAACCAGAACAUUCUCGCCUGAUUAUUAGUGUUCUGAAGUAAAUACAGAAGAGGCUCCAAAAUACAGACCUCUGUACAUCAACCUUCUGUAAUCCACCUACCUUACAUAUACAGUCCAUGACAAUUCUACGAGCUCCUGGAAACAGAACUCAGAACUCCUCCCCAGAGAACCCUGAAAUUGUAGUCAGCAUGUGCGUUUUCCUGAGAAGUGAAUGAGUCAACAGCUUUCAACAGAUCUUCAAAGCCUUACUUCACCCAAUGAAGUUAAGAACCAUUAAAGAAGAAA